AAUCAAUGGUAAAUUCCAAUACAACGGUCGGUGAAUAACGUUGGGAACUUGUAUAUAAUUGUAUGUUGCAUGUUUAGAAAAGAAUGAAGCUGGAUUAAGGAUUUGAAUAUGGCCUGGUUUUGGGGAAAACGGAGCACGCAUGUUUUUUGAUGAUGACGGGCGGAAAUAAAUAGUGAAAACGGUUAAAAGAUGGCUGGAAAAGAAAUUCUUAAUGCCAGGGGCUGUGAGAAUGAAGGUACACACGGUCUAUAGUCCUGUAGACCGUGUGUAGGACUGAAAAGCGAACUUCCGCAUGACUCGAGGAUCUUUCCACAAGUUGUGUGGAAUUAUGGAAGGAGUCAUGAAGCCCACGGAGGUGACUGUUCGAGCACCAGUACCGCUGUCCUCCAAGGCAUAGUGGACGACAUGUAUCGCUUCUGGAGCAUCAGCUGUAAGAUGCCUGGGUGUGCUCAUGACGCUAACGUGUUCAGCCAGGCACACCUGUUACCAAAAGAACCAAGAGAAAUCGAUGGCGUCUCAAUCGGUCACUUCCUGUUGGGAGAUCCAGCGUAUCCUCUCAUGGACUGGAUCAUGAAAGGCUACACCCAUUCCCCAAAAUCACCCCUGAGCAAGAGUCCUUCAAUGUCUACUUAAGCUCUGCAAGGACCACGGCGGAGAUUGCGUUUGGGAGACUGAAGUCACGCUGGAGAGUUUUGAUGAAGCGUAGUGACUUCCACUUUUCAUUCACCUCUAAAGUGAUUGCUACCUGUUGUGCAUUGCGCAAUUUCUGUGAGAAUGAGAAGGAAGUUGUGAAUCCCAACUGGUCAGUGGAAGCAGCUACUGAUAAUCAAAAGUUAUUUUCAUGGGCUUAGUUGGGGGUUUGCUGUCUAGUCUUGAUUUAAGAGUUAGGUAAAGGGGGGUAAGCAGGAUCUGCCAAGCAGGCAGACACGAGUCUGACAGGAUGGGGAGUCAGUUUAUGUCCUGGCUGAGGAAUGUAAGGUCUGCGGGUCAACUAGAAGAUUUACCAGCCAAAGGGGGGUUAGAGACACACCAACACUAUUCAACAUACACACUCUGUUUACGAUGUUUACGUUAAGUCAGGAGUCUGGACAUUGGAUGUGACCGGAUCUUAGAUGCGGGAGGUGGAAGGUCCUCCUCUACGCCAGUUUAGGGCCAAUAGAAAUAUUUCCUUCUCUGUCUUUCAAGGGUUAUAAAACAUGCCUGAACUGCUCCUGCCUUUGCAAACGCAGCGCUGAUACUUGACCUGUGAUCUGACAAAUACAUUUCCCAGAACGAGAGAAGUUGUUCGGCUGAAUUUUUGAUAACCCCGACCAG
This is a long non-coding RNA of Gasterosteus aculeatus aculeatus (three-spined stickleback), 1314 nucleotides long. Lineage: Eukaryota; Metazoa; Chordata; Actinopteri; Perciformes; Gasterosteidae. The record is from Ensembl.